This 483-nucleotide ribosomal RNA is filed under the name uncultured bacterium. RNAcentral's name for it is "partial 16S ribosomal RNA". It matches the Rfam family "Bacterial small subunit ribosomal RNA", at positions 28 to 523 of the family's 1533-position model. The record is from RNAcentral.
GACGAACGCUGGCGGCGUGCUUAACACAUGCAAGUCGAACGAUGAAGCUGGAGCUUGCUCCGGUGGAUUAGUGGCGAACGGGUGAGUAACACGUGAGCAAUCUGCCCUUGACUCUGGGAUAACUGCGGGAAACUGUAGCUAAUACCGGAUACGAGGCUCGAAGGCAUCUUCGGGUCUGGAAAGAAUUUCGGUCAAGGAUGAGCUCGCGGCCUAUCAGAUUGUUGGUGAGGUAAUGGCGCACCAAGGCGACGACGGGUAGCCGGCCUGAGAGGGUGACCGGCCACACUGGGACUGAGACACGGCCCAGACUCCUACGGGAGGCAGCAGUGGGGAAUAUUGCACAAUGGGCGAAAGCCUGAUGCAGCAACGCCGCGUGAGGGAUGAAGGCCUUCGGGUUGUAAACCUCUUUUAGCAGGGAAGAAGCGAAAGUGACGGUACCUGCAGAAAAAGCACCGGCUAACUACGUGCCAGCAGCCGCAGUAA